Molecule: non-coding RNA, 103 nt
Organism: Peziza echinospora
Lineage: Eukaryota; Fungi; Ascomycota; Pezizomycetes; Pezizales; Pezizaceae
Source: the annotation of a GenBank genome assembly
GCCCGGUUGGCUCAGUCGGUAGAGCGUGUGACUCUUAAUAACGGUUAUCGAAUAGCCCUGUUAGGUGAUCUCAAGGUCGCGAGUUCGAGCCUCGCAUUGGGCU